UACGGAGGGUGCAAGCGUUACUCGGAAUCACUGGGCAUAAAGGGCGUGUAGGCGGGCUUUCAAGUCGGUUGUGAAAUCCCUCAGCUCAACUGAGGAACUGCAUCCGAUACUGUUUGUCUUGAGGACGAGAGGGGAGUGUGGAACUUCUGGUGGAGCGGUGAAAUGCGUAGAUAUCAGAAGGAACGCCGGUGGCGAAAGCGACUCUCUGGCUCGUAACUGACGCUGAAACGCGAAAGCUUGGGUAGCAAACGGG
This 253-nucleotide ribosomal RNA is filed under the name uncultured bacterium. Its description in RNAcentral is "partial 16S ribosomal RNA". It matches the Rfam family "Bacterial small subunit ribosomal RNA", at positions 524 to 776 of the family's 1533-position model. The record is from RNAcentral.